GACGAACGCUGGCGGCGUGCCUAAUACAUGCAAGUUGAGCGCUGAAGGUUGGUACUUGUACCAACUGGAUGAGCAGCGCACGGGUGAGUAACGCGUGGGGAAUCUGCCUUUGAGCGGGGGACAACAUUUGGAAACGAAUGCUAAUACCGCAUAAAAACUUUAAACACAAGUUUUAAGUUUGAAAGAUGCAAUUGCAUCACUCAAAGAUGAUCCCGCGUUGUAUUAGCUAGUUGGUGAGGUAAAGGCUCACCAAGGCGAUGAUACAUAGCCGACCGGAGAGGGUGAUCGGCCACAUUGGGACUGAGACACGGCACAAACGCCUACGGGAGGCAGCAGGAGGGAAGCGUCGGGAAGGGACGAAAGGCUGACCGAGAAACGCGGCGGGAGGGAAGAAGGAUGUCGGAUCGUAAAACUCGGUUGGUAGAGAAGAACGUGGGUGAGAGUGGAAAGCUCAUCAAGUGACGGUAACUACACAGAAAGGGACGGCUAACUACGUG
RNAcentral lists this ribosomal RNA (497 nucleotides) under uncultured bacterium. RNAcentral's name for it is "partial 16S ribosomal RNA". It matches the Rfam family "Bacterial small subunit ribosomal RNA", at positions 28 to 507 of the family's 1533-position model. The record is from RNAcentral.